RNAcentral lists this ribosomal RNA (378 nucleotides) under uncultured bacterium. RNAcentral describes it as "bacterial SSU rRNA". It matches the Rfam family "Bacterial small subunit ribosomal RNA", at positions 523 to 898 of the family's 1533-position model. The record is from RNAcentral.
AUACGUAGGUGGCGAGCGUUGUCCGGAAUUACUGGGUGUAAAGGGUGUGCAGGCGGGGCGGUAAGUCAGGGGUGAAAGUCUACGGCUCAACCGUAGGAUGGCCUUUGAUACUGUCGUCCUUGAGUCCCGGAGAGGCCAUUAGAAUUCGUGGUGUAGCGGUGAAAUGCGUAGAUAUCACGAGGAAUACCGGAAGCGUAGGCGGAUGGCUGGACGGCGACUGACGCUCAGGCACGAAAGCGUGGGGAGCGAACAGGAUUAGAUACCCUGGUAGUCCACGCUGUAAACGAUGGAUGCUCGGUGUUCGACUCCGUUAGCGGGUUGAGUGCCCAAGUUAACGCGAUAAGCAUCCCACCUGGGGAGUACGCUCGCAAGAGUGAA